Molecule: ribosomal RNA, 206 nt
Filed under: uncultured bacterium
Lineage: Bacteria
Description: partial 16S ribosomal RNA
Rfam family: Bacterial small subunit ribosomal RNA
Source: RNAcentral
CGCGUAGGUGGAACGUUAAGUCCGGUCUGAAAGCCCCCGGCUCAACCGGGGAGGGUGGCUGGAAACUGGCGUUCUUGAGGGCGAGAGAGGAGGGUGGAAUUCCUGGUGUAGCGGUGAAAUGCGUAGAGAUCAGGAGGAACACCCGUGGCGAAGGCGGCCCUCUGGCUCGACCCUGACGCUGAGGCGCGAAAGCGUGGGGAGCGAAC